AUACUGCUGAAGAGUCCCAAAGUAGGACGAAACAGCUGUCCAGUAC
This 46-nucleotide non-coding RNA is filed under the name Trichobilharzia regenti. The record is from RNAcentral. Lineage: Eukaryota; Metazoa; Platyhelminthes; Trematoda; Strigeidida; Schistosomatidae.